Molecule: long non-coding RNA, 693 nt
Organism: Seriola aureovittata
Lineage: Eukaryota; Metazoa; Chordata; Actinopteri; Carangiformes; Carangidae
Exons: 4
Source: RefSeq, a predicted model, not a curated record
UGCUUCCUCUGGUCGUGUGGUUGAAACAGAGUUGCAAAGCAGACUAUUACAACAAGCAUUCAGUAUAAUUAGAGCAACCGUGUCAGAGAAAACAUACUGCUGGACUGAACGUGCACAGGGCUCCUUGGGUCAGUGCUGCGUGGGAUUUGACUGCAGAGAUUACUGACAACACAGGCUGAAUGGGAUGAAUAUGAUGUGGAUGACCCCCCGGUCUAGAAGGUACGGGUGCCUAUGGAGCCAGACGCCACAGUCGACUCUCAGUUCAGACCUCCUGACCCGUGACUCUCGCCUAAAUCCACUUCAGUCCAGUGAAUCAGAUUUCUGAAGAAAAAACAAGAAACCGAAACCAGGCUCAAAGCUACAUCUGGCUCUCUCCGGACUUCCCUCCCAGGCCAGAACAAUGGCGGGCCCAUGAGCCCAGCUUCCCCACAGGCCCCAGCGAGAGGAGGCCGGGGGCUGGGUACUGAGGGAGCCGCUCAGCAUGCUGAAAUAUGGAGGCGACAGAUAAGGUGGCAGCAGCACAGAGAGGCCCUCUCCCAUGGGCCCAAGGGGAAAUUUGCAGUUAUUAAGAGGAAGAUGAGAGAGAUUAAAUGGCUUUUGUACUCAUUUUCACAGACUUUUCUUUUUUAUUAUUUGGGCUGCCUUCAUCUGAGAGAUGAAAGAAGUGGUAAAUGACUUUUUUGCUUCAUUCAG